CCGAGUUUACAACUCCCAAACCCAAUGUGAACAUACCCCAAUGUUGCCUCGGCGGGACCGCCCCGGCGCCCUCACCGGCCCGGAACCAGGCGCCCGCCGCAGGACCCAAACCUCUGUUUUAUGUAUUCUCCUCUGAGUGGAUUUUACAAAUAAAUCA
This 157-nucleotide unclassified non-coding RNA is filed under the name uncultured Myrothecium. RNAcentral's name for it is "sequence contains ITS1". Lineage: Eukaryota; Fungi; Ascomycota; Sordariomycetes; Hypocreales. The record is from RNAcentral.